UCUAGCUCAAAUGGGAGAGCGCUCGCUUAGCAUGCGAGAAGUACUGGGAUCGAUACCCAGGUUCUCCA
RNAcentral lists this transfer RNA (68 nucleotides) under Coemansia nantahalensis. RNAcentral describes it as "tRNA-Ala". It matches the Rfam family "tRNA". Rfam says of the family: Transfer RNA (tRNA) molecules are approximately 80 nucleotides in length. Their secondary structure includes four short double-helical elements and three loops (D, anti-codon, and T loops). Lineage: Eukaryota; Fungi; Kickxellomycota; Kickxellomycetes; Kickxellales; Kickxellaceae. The record is from RNAcentral.